GAUGAACGCUGGCGGCGUGCCUAAUACAUGCAAGUCGAGCGAACAGACGAGGAGCUUGCUCCUCUGACGUUAGCGGCGGACGGGUGAGUAACACGUGGAUAACCUACCUAUAAGACUGGGAUAACUUCGGGAAACCGGAGCUAAUACCGGAUAAUAUAUUGAACCGCAUGGUUCAAUAGUGAAAGACGGUUUUGCUGUCACUUAUAGAUGGAUCCGCGCCGCAUUAGCUAGUUGGUAAGGUAACGGCUUACCAAGGCAACGAUGCGUAGCCGACCUGAGAGGGUGAUCGGCCACACUGGAACUGAGACACGGUCCAGACUCCUACGGGAGGCAGCAGUAGGGAAUCGUCCGCAAUGGUCGAAAGCCUGACGGAGCAACGCCGCGUGAGUGAUGAAGGUCUUCGGAUCGUAAAACUCUGUUAUUAGGGAAGAACAAAUGUGUAAGUAACUAUGCACGUCUUGACGGUACCUAAUCAGAAAGCCACGGCUAACUACGUG
This 497-nucleotide ribosomal RNA is filed under the name uncultured bacterium. RNAcentral describes it as "partial 16S ribosomal RNA". It matches the Rfam family "Bacterial small subunit ribosomal RNA", at positions 28 to 507 of the family's 1533-position model. The record is from RNAcentral.